Molecule: ribosomal RNA, 467 nt
Filed under: uncultured Anoxybacillus sp.
Lineage: Bacteria; Bacillati; Bacillota; Bacilli; Caryophanales; Anoxybacillaceae
Description: bacterial SSU rRNA
Rfam family: Bacterial small subunit ribosomal RNA
Source: RNAcentral
GACGGGGCCCGCACAAGCGGUGGAGCAUGUGGUUAAUUCGAAGCAACGCGAAGAACCUUACCAGGUCUUGACAUCCCUGACAACCCGAGAGAUCGGGCGUUCCCCUUCGGGGGACAGGGUGACAGGUGGUGCAUGGUUGUCGUCAGCUCGUGUCGUGAGAUGUUGGGUUAAGUCCCGCAACGAGCGCAACCCUCGACCUUAGUUGCCAGCAUUCAGUUGGGCACUCUAAGGUGACUGCCGGCUAAAAGUCGGAGGAAGUGGGGAUGACGUCAAAUCAUCAUGCCCCUUAUGACCUGGGCUACACACGUGCUACAAUGGGCGGUACAAAGGGUCGCGAACCCGCGAGGGGGAGCCAAUCCCAAAAAGCCGCUCUCAGUUCGGAUUGCAGGCUGCAACUCGCCUGCAUGAAGCCGGAAUCGCUAGUAAUCGCGGAUCAGCAUGCCGCGGCGAAUACGUUCCCGGGCCUU